RNAcentral lists this ribosomal RNA (468 nucleotides) under uncultured bacterium. RNAcentral's name for it is "partial 16S ribosomal RNA". It matches the Rfam family "Bacterial small subunit ribosomal RNA", at positions 28 to 507 of the family's 1533-position model. The record is from RNAcentral.
GACGAACGCUGGCGGCGUGCUUAACACAUGCAAGUCGAACGGAAAGGCCCGGCUUUUGUGGGGUGCUCGAGUUGCGAACGGGUGAGUAACACGUGAGUAACCUGCCCUUGACUUUGGGAUAACUUCAGGAAACUGGGGCUAAUACCGGAUAGGAGUUCCUGCUGUAUGGUGGGGGUUGGAAAGUUUCGGCGGUUGGGGAUGGACUCGCGGCUUAUCAGCUUGUUGGUGGGGUAGUGGCUUACCAAGGCUUUGACGGGUAGCCGGCCUGAGAGGGUGACCGGCCACAUUGGGACUGAGAUACGGCCCAGACUCCUACGGGAGGCAGCAGUGGGGAAUAUUGCACAAUGGGCGGAAGCCUGAUGCAGCAACGCCGCGUGCGGGAUGACGGCCUUCGGGUUGUAAACCGCUUUCGCCUGUGACGAAGCGUGAGUGACGGUAAUGGGUAAAGAAGCACCGGCUAACUACGUG